CGUCUAUAUACGUAUAGCAUAUCAAUAAGCGGAGGAAAAGAAACUAACAAGGAUUCCCUUAGUAACGGCGAGUGAAGCGGGAAGAGCUCAAAUUUGAAAUCUUCAAGGUUCUACCUUGACGAAUUGUAGUUUAAAGAAGUGUUUUCUGUUAGAGGAGUAGCAAAAGUUCCUUGGAAUGGGACAUCAUAGAGGGUGAGAAUCCCGUAUUUGGUUACUUCUUUCUAGCUUUGUGAUACACUUUCAAAGAGUCGGAUUGUUUGGGAAUGCAGUCCAAAAUGUGUGGUAAAUUUCAUCUAAAGCUAAAUAUUGGCGAGAGACCGAUAGCGAACAAGUACCGUGAGGGAAAGAUGAAAAGAACUUUGAAAAGAGAGUUAAACAGUACGUGAAAUUGUCAAAAGGGAAGCGUUUGACACCAGUGUUGUUUUUCCGAAAAUCAAUUAAGAGUGGCUUGAUUUUGUGUUGUAUUGACCUUAUCAGCUUUCUUCACUCUUUUUCGAGUCUUUCUUAAUGCACUUUUCGGUUAACAAGUCAACAUCAAUUUCUUUUGUUGUAAAAGAGUAUUUGGAAGGUGGCUUUCUUUUCGGAGAAAGUGUUUAUAGCCUUAUACCUCUACAAUCGGAGAGAUUGAGGUCUGCAGCGUAGAUCCUUCGGGGCUAGAUACACUUGUGCUAAGUUAUAGCUUUUCAUAGACAACUUGUUGACUAUGUUUAGUCAUGUAGCUUACCCGCUUGUGCUAUUUUACCUACGCUUAGGAUGUUGAGUCAUCACACAUCUCU
RNAcentral lists this ribosomal RNA (776 nucleotides) under uncultured Neocallimastigales. RNAcentral's name for it is "partial large subunit ribosomal RNA". It matches the Rfam family "Eukaryotic large subunit ribosomal RNA", at positions 26 to 618 of the family's 3401-position model. The record is from RNAcentral. Lineage: Eukaryota; Fungi; Neocallimastigomycota; Neocallimastigomycetes; Neocallimastigales.